Molecule: long non-coding RNA, 1402 nt
Organism: Epinephelus lanceolatus (giant grouper)
Lineage: Eukaryota; Metazoa; Chordata; Actinopteri; Perciformes; Serranidae
Source: RefSeq, a predicted model, not a curated record
UCGGAGCUGAGAGAGACAAACUGGAGUUGUUGUCACGUGCAGUGGGCACAAACUUGAAAGUGUAUAGUCGAGUGCCAAGUUGUCUUUUUGAGUGACUUUUGUUUCCACAAGCUCUUCUAUAGGAGUUAUGAGGCUCCAAUCGAACUGCUAAAACAGUCAGGCUCAAUGUUCGACUGUAGGGCAGCAUUAGGACCUUUGGUGUCUUCACUUUCUGACCAGCCAGGCACUGCUGCAGUUUAAGUCGGCCUUCCAUGGGGAAGAGACAGGAAACACUGUUGCACUACAAGAAAAGGAUUUAGAUAUUGGACCAUCAUAAAGAUCCCCUUGGAGCUGCCUGGAAGAAGGAUCCUAAUAUCAUGUAUCAGUUAGAUGACCAAGUUCAGGGCCUGCACGACUGCUGCAGCUCAGCGCCGGAGCUCGGAUCAAUGGAAUACUGUUGGGGAUACAACGGACCACACCCACACACUGAUUAGACCCUCUGAUUGGAUAUCACAUGGAUGUCUUGACCACUACCAUGGCUUUCAUGCAAAUUGAUGAAGGAGCAAAGAAGCAGCUGUGAGAAGCCCGGAAGGUCCCCCAACUCUGCCCCUCACCUGUGUCACAUCUGCCUGCCAGUGCCAUCAAGGUGCGUCAAUCUUCCACCCUGGCAUCUCUUUACCUGUGGCACUACACUGCACCUUCCUGGCUGGCACGCUUUCGACCCUCCCCCAUCACUCCCGCCUCUUGUUCCUCAAGGCAUCUGUCACUCACCUGUCAUUUCUUUCAUCAACUCCUGCCUUACUCCUACCUUCUUGCAUUGGCCUCGGCAAAGGCGGGAAGGAAACCAUCGGAGCGAAAAUGGUGACCACUUUGUCCCAGUUCCAGGUUUAGCUGCUGUGGAGGAUGACACAUUAGGGAGGUGCUGACUGACAGCGGCAUUCCUACUAAAGCAGGUUUCUCUCUGGGGACACAGGAGUUUGAUGAACGUAUGGGUCAAAUAUUUGACACACUUGAACCCUGCAGCAAAAACUUAUAGAUUUGUUUGGCAUAAUUAUAUCAAGUUUGAUACAAUGAUAAAGAUAAAGUUAUAUAAAGUCAACACUGAUGUUCCUUAGACUGUCUUGUAUUCAAGUUAUAGUUAGUAUAGUAUAACUCCUGCACCAAGACAUAUACCAAUACCCUCUAGAUUAUAAUGGAACCAGAUGGCACUCAGCUUGAGGUGCUGAAAGCGGCAAAAAAAUAAAAAAUAAAAAUAAUUUUUAAAAAAAUCAUCAUGACCCUGUUACUCAUGAUAAUCCACAGACCUUGCUGGGAGCAGUUUCAUAUAGGAACUAUUUUGUUUCUACACCCACCAAUCGAAUCACCACACAGAAGGGAAGCAUGUAGGUAAGAGGAAAAAUGUGUAUUUCUGAUUUGGGGUUGA